UCUGUCCUCAAGCGACCAGCUGGACUACAGAUCACCUCAGUGAGGUGGUUAAAAGUCACAGUUGAGGAUCCUUGGAAUCUGUACGCCAGACAGAGCCACAGUCUAUUUGAGGGAUGGAAAUCGUGGCUGAUCUCCAAACCAAAACAAGGAGCUACACCUCAACCGCCCUAUUUUGCAAGCCACUACCCUAGAGCAUAUGAGAGUCCUCUGCCCAU
Long non-coding RNA from Oncorhynchus kisutch (coho salmon), 215 nucleotides. RefSeq lists it as uncharacterized. The transcript has 2 exons. The record is from RefSeq and is a predicted model, not a curated record. NCBI's taxonomy places the organism in Eukaryota, Metazoa, Chordata, Actinopteri, Salmoniformes, Salmonidae.